Molecule: ribosomal RNA, 324 nt
Filed under: Manga melanodonta
Lineage: Eukaryota; Metazoa; Arthropoda; Insecta; Lepidoptera; Noctuidae
Description: partial 16S large subunit ribosomal RNA
Source: RNAcentral
UUAUAAAUAGAAUUUAAUUUUUUUGUUAAAAAGUUAAAAUAAUUUAAAAAGACGAGAAGACCCUAUAGAGUUUUAUAGAGAAAGUAAUUAAUAUUAUUUGUUAAAUUAAAGUUGAAAUUAUUUUAUUUAUUAUAUUGGGGUGAUAAAAAAAUAUAUAUAACUUUUUUUAAAUAAAAACAUUUAUAAGUGAUUAAUUGAUCCAAUAUUAUUGAUUAUAAGAAAAAAUUACCUUAGGGAUAACAGCGUAAUUUUUUUUUUUAGUUCAUAUAAUAAAAAGAGUUUGCGACCUCGAUGUUGGAUUAAGAUAAAAUUUAAAUGCAGAAG